RNAcentral lists this ribosomal RNA (253 nucleotides) under uncultured bacterium. RNAcentral describes it as "partial 16S ribosomal RNA". It matches the Rfam family "Bacterial small subunit ribosomal RNA", at positions 524 to 776 of the family's 1533-position model. The record is from RNAcentral.
UACGUAGGGUGCAAGCGUUAAUCGGAAUUACUGGGCGUAAAGCGUGCGCAGGCGGUUUUGUAAGACCGAUGUGAAAUCCCCGGGCUUAACCUGGGAACUGCAUUGGUGACUGCAAGGCUUGAGUGUGUCAGAGGGAGGUGGAAUUCCGCGUGUAGCAGUGAAAUGCGUAGAUAUGCGGAGGAACACCGAUGGCGAAGGCAGCCUCCUGGGCCAGCACUGACGCUCAUGCACGAAAGCGUGGGGAGCAAACAGG